CCUGUAAGCGGCCAGAGGUGACCUGUGAAGAUGGUCCGCUACUCUCUUGACCCGGAGAACCCCGCAAAACCAUGCGAAUCAUGAAGAACACGAAGAGGUUCAAACUUUCGUGUUCACUUUAAGAACACCCGGGAAACUGGCCAGGUCAUCAAGGGUAAGCAUAUCCCCAAAGCCACCAAGUAUCUGAAGGAGGUCACUUCAACGAAGCCUUGUGUGCCAUUCCGGCGGUAUAAUGGUGGAGUCGGUACGUGCACCCAGGCCAAACAGUGGGGCUGGGCACAGGGAUGGCGGCCAAAACAGAGAGCUGAAUUUUUGCUGCACAUGCUUACCAAUGCAGAGAGUAAUGCUGGACUAAGGGCUUAGACGUAGAUUCUCUGUCAUUGAACACAGGCGGGUGAGCACGGCACCUAAGAUACGCAGACGGACCUACAGCGCUCACGGCUGCAGACAGACCUACAGCACUCACCGCCGCUUUAACCCAUCCGUGAGCUCUCCCUGCCACACUGAGAUGCUCCUCACUGAGAAGGAACAGACUGUUCCAAAGUCAGAAGAGGAGGUUGCAUGGAAGAAAAA
Molecule: long non-coding RNA, 573 nt
Filed under: Rattus norvegicus (Norway rat)
Lineage: Eukaryota; Metazoa; Chordata; Mammalia; Rodentia; Muridae
Description: long non-coding RNA NONRATT019610
Source: RNAcentral